GAUGAACGCUAGCGGCAGGCCUAAUACAUGCAAGUCGGACGGGAUUUGGGAGCUUGCUCCUGAUGAGAGUGGCGCACGGGUGCGUAACACGUAUGUAACCUACCUUAAUCUGGGGGAUAGCCUCUCGAAAGAGAGAUUAACACCGCAUAAAAUUAUUUAGUAGCAUUAUUGAAUAAUCAAAUAUUUAUAGGAUUGAGAUGGGCAUGACGGAACAUUAGCUAGUUGGUAAGGUAACGGCUUACCAAGGCUACGAUGUUAGGGAUCUGAGAGGAUCGACCCCCCANACUGGUACUGAGACACGGACCA
This 306-nucleotide ribosomal RNA is filed under the name uncultured bacterium. RNAcentral's name for it is "bacterial SSU rRNA". It matches the Rfam family "Bacterial small subunit ribosomal RNA", at positions 28 to 333 of the family's 1533-position model. The record is from RNAcentral.